Molecule: ribosomal RNA, 238 nt
Filed under: uncultured bacterium
Lineage: Bacteria
Description: partial 16S ribosomal RNA
Rfam family: Bacterial small subunit ribosomal RNA
Source: RNAcentral
UGGCGGACGGGUGAGUAACGCGUGGGUAACCUGCCUCAUACAGGGGGAUAACAGUUAGAAAUGACUGCUAAUACCGCAUAAGACCACGGAGCCGCAUGGCUCAGUGGGAAAAACUCCGGUGGUAUGAGAUGGACCCGCGUCUGAUUAGGUAGUUGGUGGGGUAACGGCCCACCAAGGCGACGAUCGGUAGCCGGACUGAGAGGUUGAACGGCCACAUUGGGACUGAGACACGGCCCAG